CAGCCGCCGCGGUAAGACAGAGGAUGCAAGCGUUAUCCGGAAUGAUUGGGCGUAAAGGGCGCGUAGGCGGACUGAUAAGUCAGGGGUGAAAUCCCAAGGCUCAACCUUGGAACUGCCUUUGAUACUGUUUGUCUUGAGUUCGAGAGAGGUAAGUGGAACUGCGAGUGUAGAGGUGAAAUUCGUAGAUAUUCGCAAGAACACCAGUGGCGAAGGCGGCUUACUGGCUCGAAACUGACGCUGAGGCGCGAAAGCGUGGGGAGCAAACAGGAUUAGAGACCCCGGUAGUCCCUGUCUCUUAUAC
RNAcentral lists this ribosomal RNA (301 nucleotides) under uncultured bacterium. Its description in RNAcentral is "partial 16S ribosomal RNA". It matches the Rfam family "Bacterial small subunit ribosomal RNA", at positions 509 to 807 of the family's 1533-position model. The record is from RNAcentral.